Molecule: ribosomal RNA, 236 nt
Filed under: uncultured bacterium
Lineage: Bacteria
Description: partial 16S ribosomal RNA
Rfam family: Bacterial small subunit ribosomal RNA
Source: RNAcentral
GGACCCACGAGCGGAACCCGAAAACCUAGUCUCAGUUCGGAUUGGAGUCUGCAACCCGACUCCAUGAAGCUGGAUUCGCUAGUAAUCGCGCAUCAGCCACGGCGCGGUGAAUACGUUCCCGGGCCUUGUACACACCGCCCGUCAAGCCAUGGGAGCCGGGGGUGCCUGAAGGCCGUGACCGCGAGGAGCGGCCUAGGGUAAAACUGGUGACUGGGGCUAAGUCGUAACAAGGUAGC